Molecule: small nuclear RNA, 44 nt
Organism: Callithrix jacchus (white-tufted-ear marmoset)
Lineage: Eukaryota; Metazoa; Chordata; Mammalia; Primates; Cebidae
Source: Ensembl
GUAUUGUAUAAAAGGUGAGAAGGUUAGCAUUCCCCUUGACAAGA